RNAcentral lists this ribosomal RNA (484 nucleotides) under uncultured bacterium. Its description in RNAcentral is "partial 16S ribosomal RNA". It matches the Rfam family "Bacterial small subunit ribosomal RNA", at positions 30 to 507 of the family's 1533-position model. The record is from RNAcentral.
AUUGAACGCUGGCGGCAGGCCUAACACAUGCAAGUCGAGCGGAUGAAGGGAGCUUGCUCCUGGAUUCAGCGGCGGACGGGUGAGUAAUGCCUAGGAAUCUGCCUGGGAGUGGGGGAUAACGUCCGCAAACGGGCGCUAAUACCGCAUACGUCCUGAGGGAGAAAGUGGGGGAUCUUCGGACCUCACGCUAUCAGAUGAGCCUAGGUCGGAUUAGCUAGUUGGUGGGGUAAAGGCCUACCAAGGCGACGAUCCGUAACUGGUCUGAGAGGAUGAUCAGUCACACUGGAACUGAGACACGGUCCAGACUCCUACGGGAGGCAGCAGUGGGGAAUAUUGGACAAUGGGCGAAAGCCUGAUCCAGCCAUGCCGCGUGUGUGAAGAAGGUCUUCGGAUUGUAAAGCACUUUAAGUUGGGAGGAAGGGCAGUAAGUUAAUACCUUGCUGUUUUGACGUUACCAGCAGAAUAAGCACCGGCUAACUUCGUG